GACGAACGCUGGCGGCGUGCCUAACACAUGCAAGUCGAACGGAAAGGCCCUGCUCUUGCGGGGUGCUCGAGUGGCGAACGGGUGAGUAACACGUGAGUAACCUGCCCUUGACUUUGGGAUAACUUCAGGAAACUGGGGCUAUUACCGGAUAGGAGCUCCUGCUGCACGGUGGGGGUUGGAAAGUUUCGGCGGUUGGGGAUGGUCUCGCGGCUUCUCCGCUUGUUGGUGGGGUAGUGGCUUACCAAGGCUUUGACGGGUAGCCGGCCUGGGAGGGUGAACAGGCACAAUGGGACUGAGGGACGGCGCAGACGCCUACGGGAGGCAGCAGUGGAAAAUAUUACGCAGUGGGCGGAAGCCUGAUGCAGCGGCGCCGCGUGCGGAAUGACGGCCUACGGGUUGUAAACCGCUUUCGCCUGUAACGAAGCGUGAGUGACGGUAAUGGGUAAAGAAGCAACGGCUAACUACGUG
This 468-nucleotide ribosomal RNA is filed under the name uncultured bacterium. RNAcentral describes it as "partial 16S ribosomal RNA". It matches the Rfam family "Bacterial small subunit ribosomal RNA", at positions 28 to 507 of the family's 1533-position model. The record is from RNAcentral.